Capsicum annuum is the source of this 3901-nucleotide long non-coding RNA. RefSeq lists it as uncharacterized. The transcript is spliced from 2 exons. The record is from RefSeq and is a predicted model, not a curated record. NCBI's taxonomy places the organism in Eukaryota, Viridiplantae, Streptophyta, Magnoliopsida, Solanales, Solanaceae.
AUGACAUUCCUUUUCUAAUUUAUUGCAAUUUUAGUCUGCCUCAUUAAUAUUUCAUUUUUCCUGUUGUGUUUGGUCAAUUGCUUUAACCUUACAGAAUUCAGAUGUAUUCAUUUUAAUAUAUUUUUGGGUAUCUUUUUCCUUCUUGGAAACAUUUAGUUUUUAUAAAUUGAGCUAGAGGACUGUUGAUCUCUCACCUCCCAUUCGUCCAUUUCAUAGGAAACUUGAGAAUUAAGUUUUAAUACAGUUUAGGUAUCUCAAGGUUGACAGAUCUUGCAAUGGUUGAAAUUUCGAUAGCGGGUAUUUCAAUUUUUAAAUUUUGUGUAUCUAUAAAUCAAAAUAUACAUUUGUUUUGAAUUUAUGAUGACUGCGGGUGUGAUAACAUGAUUUUCGAGAUGAUCCGUUUGAUAAUAUGUGAGUUUUCAUGAUUUGGUAUGUUUGGGUGUUCACAUGAUUCACUUUGUUCAACAUUUGAGAAUUUUAAGGUCACAUGAGAAUUUCAUUAGUUGCACUGGUUUCAAAUAAUCGUUUUUGGACUAUUAGGACCAUUUUUUAUUUUUUUUUUGCAUUUCGAGGCGUUUUGAUGAAUUUUGGAUAGUUGGUUUUAAGGUUGAAAGUUUGAGGCAUAUAUUUGAAUUCGGUCAAGAUUCAUUGGUAGCAGCAAAGCACCAUCAGUCCAAUAAUUGAUUUAGAGACAUUUGAUGUAGAACCCUCGAUUUCAAUAUGAAGAUCUUUUCGCUUCAAAAAUGCAAGCACCAUGUGUUGUGAUUUCCUUGUCCUGGCAAAGUAUUUUCUUACUUCUAGAUAUUUUCAUUGAACCAUCGUUGGAAACAUCCUUAACUUUCUAAAAGUAUUGAGUGCAGCUUCAAUAUUUGAAAACACCACUGUUCCAUUAUUGUUAGUACAAUAUAUAACAGAAGAUAUUUCAGCAUUACAUUGCCUUUUAGAAUUAUAAGGUGGAGGAUAGGAAUUAUGAUCUAUGGAAUUAAGAAUGUAAGUAUGAUAAGGAGUAAUUGAAAAUGUCUGAAUUAAUCAAUGGAUAGAGAAACAUAUAAAGAGAUAAUCUUUUUUUUGUCACAAAAAGAAAUUAUCUUUCUUAGCUCUCUUCUUCAUAUCUUGAACCAUGCAUGAAUUCUUUAACUUGUAACGUGUAGAACUUCAGAAGUCAUUUAAUUUUCUUUCUUCCGGAUGUAUUUUGAAUUUUAAGCAUAUCUUUAUGUGGGAUGUAGAGGAGGAAAGAAAAAUGUAGUUCUACGACAUGAAAAAUAAAUAAAUGAAUGAAUGAAAAAUGUAGAAAAAUGCACAUUUAUUAUAAAUGUAUUAGGCCACUUAAUGCUAGCCCGGAUGACAUGUGUGGUCCAUAUUAAUAAUCUAUUGAUUGGACAUACAUAGGCAUCAGAUCCUUAAUAAUAGCUUCAAAAUUAGGUUGGUCAAGUAUGGCCAUGUACGCACUAUGAAUCCCACUAUGACCCAUAUGGGCAAACAAUGUUUGUUUCUCCACAAUGUUGAUAACUCUUUUGUGAUGCCAUGUAAGUUCUUAGAUUCCACUUUUACAACCCAUAACUUGGUUGUACAUGGUUACCCAUGCCUUAAAAAUAGCCCAACUUUGCGGAGGUCGCAAUCACACUACCAUAUAUGGUCCACAGGUGGCUUCCAACCAAAUAGGAAAUAGGGAGAAAGAAGAGAAUGAGUCAUUGAGUUGAGCCUCAUCCUAGAUCCCUCCCAGUAAUUGUUUUGUUAUAUUUGCGGUCUGGGGAUGUAGUAGUAUGAUUUACGAGGUGGUCCAUUGGAUAAUAUGUGAGUUUUUUUAUUGAAAUGUUUGUGUGUUUACAUGAUUGACUUUGAUCGAUAUUUGAUGAGUCUAAGAUCGUACGUGAAUUCUAACAGUUCCACUAGUUUUGAAAUAUCAUUUUUGGAUUCGUAGACUAUUAAUUUGCAUCUCGAGGCAUUCAGAUAAAUUUUUGAGUAUCUAAUUUGAAGGUUGGAAAUUUAAGGCUUAUUUGAAUUUGGUCAAUAUUCAAUAAAAGCACCAUGAAAUCAUUGAUCCAAUAAUUGGUUGAGCUUGAGAGACAUUCAAUGUAGAACAAUAUCUGUCAGUAUGAAGAUCUUUUUGCUUCAAUACUGCAUGCUCCUCCAUGUUUGUGAUUUCCUCAAGCCCAGUGAACUCAUUUUUAUCACUAUUUAUUUUGAUUGAAUCAAUGUUGGAAUAUCCUUAACUUUCUAAAAGUAUUUACUGCAGUUUCAUAAUUUGAAAACACCUAAGUUUCAUUGUUGUAAGAAUUGUAUAUGAUGACAGCAAUACAACACCUAAGAUAUUUCAGCAUUACAGGCUCUCAGAAUUAAAAGUUGGAGGAUUGAAAUCAUGAUCUGCAAAAUGAUGAAUGUAAGUGUAAACAGGUAAUUUUAUCUCUCCCCAAAAAUAAUAUUUAUGAUUUACCUCCUCCUAUCCUACCCCUACGAAUCCCCUACCCCCACCUAAUCCCACCAACUACCUGACACAACAACACUCUGAAAAAACAUUACUCACACAUACUACAAUACAAUGCACACCCACUUACACAGAAACCCGACGAAAAAAAAUAAAAAACAAAACACAAAUCACUUAUCAUUUUCCAUUAACUGAAUAUACACACCACAUACCAGUGAGGGGAGAAUUAAAAAAGGGAGAAAAGGGAAAGAGAUUGAAAACACACUUACACCCAUGGAUUCACACACACUGGAAUAGAAAAAUCAGAGAGAGAGUGAAGGGAAACAGCUGAACAGAGGAGAAAAUGGAGAGAAAACUGAGGGUGAUCGGAAAGAGUGAGAGAGACGCUAGAGAGAGAGACGGAGAGAGAGAGGAGAAUGUAGAAAACCGUGAGAAAAAGGGUGAGGAAGCAGCAGCCCACACCAUUGGAUUUUCCGGCGAAAUCUUGCUGUAAACAUCCCCUCCACCGGCGACACACCAGCAACGCCCAGUCCCGAUUCCAACCGGAUCCCGCCGGCGACCACCAGAUCCACCCCUUCCUCCGAUUUUCUGAUCAGAUCACAUCCAACAGUCACCCCUUCCCUUUUCGGCGAAUAUCCAUCGGGAAACCAUUGAAAAAAAUGGGUCUUCGUGAUUUUGGUCCAGCUUGGCGAAAAAAAAAAGAGCAAAAAGGGUUAUAUCGAGGUUUGUUUUUGUUCGUUAUUUGAGGUUUGGUUUGAGAUUUGGACGCGGUUUUAAUCAGAAGGAGUAAUUUCAAUUGAAAAUUCGAGGUUCAAUUCUCUCAUCUUUUUCUUUUAAGUUUAUGUGAUCGUUUUGUUUGAUGUUUGUUCGUGGUAAAAAAUUAAUGCCGAUGAUAUAAAUUUGAUGACAAUGUGAAUUUGGGUAGUCAAUUUUGCGUGGAGAGUUUGUGUUAAAAAAUGAAUUCGGGGGUGAUAAUUCUAGAUUACUAAGGGUGAUAUCGAUAGUUUUGAUUUAUCGAUGUUGGUUUAAUUCGAAAUAAAUAUUGAUGUUGUUGAAUGUGACAGUAUCAUGAUAGGACGAAAUGGGUAGACAAACGGUAGGCUGGGUAGGCAAAAGUUUAGGACUUGUGGAUUGUUGAAUAUUUGAAUGUUUGUUGAUUGAUUUUGUUUUAUCGUAUUUGGAUCAAUUAUACUCAUUUGGUCGGAGAAUGCCUCGAGGUUUCAGGUAUUGUUUGAUUCUGGGAAUGCCCCAAGGUUAUAUUUAUUUUUUUAUUGAGGGAAUGCCCUGAGGGGAGUUGUAAUCGAAAAUGCCGAGUGAUCAAGGCUCGAGGCACCGGAUGCAGCGUAGUUUAGGAUUAGUGUAGGUUUAUAUUUCAAUAUUUUUAUUCUAAUUUGUAAUAAACUGGGCUGAACACUAUUUUAGAUUUUUGAUUGUUUUGGUUGUUUGUUUUUUUAUUUAUGUGUUUUUGUUUGUUUA